GACGAACGCUGGCGGCGUGCUUAACACAUGCAAGUCGAACGGAAGGGCCCUGCUUUUGUGGGGUGCUCGAGUGGCGAACGGGUGAGUAACACGUGAGUAACCUGCCCUUGACUUUGGGAUAACUUCAGGAAACUGGGGCUAAUACCGGAUAGGAGCUCCUGCUGCAUGGUGGGGGUUGGAAAGUUUCGGCGGUUGGGGAUGGACUCGCGGCUUACCAGCUUGUUGGUGGGGUAGUGGCUUACCAAGGCUUUGACGGGUAGCCGGCCUGAGAGGGUGACCGGCCACAUUGGGACUGAGAUACGGCCCAGACUCCUACGGGAGGCAGCAGUGGGGAAUAUUGCACAAUGGGCGGAAGCCUGAUGCAGCAACGCCGCGUGCGGGAUGACGGCCUUCGGGUUGUAAACCGCUUUCGCCUGUGACGAAGCGAGAGUGACGGUAAUGGGUAAAGAAGCACCGGCUAACUACGUG
Molecule: ribosomal RNA, 468 nt
Filed under: uncultured bacterium
Lineage: Bacteria
Description: partial 16S ribosomal RNA
Rfam family: Bacterial small subunit ribosomal RNA
Source: RNAcentral